UCCGAGUUGACCCCGGCAGUCUCCUGCGAGUCCCCGCCAUUACGCGCUGGCAACACAGGACAAGGGUUGCGCUCGUUGCGGGACUUAACCCAACAUCUCACGACACGAGCUGACGACAGCCAUGCACCACCUGUGCACGUGUCCCGAAGGAGGGCCCCUGUUUCCAGGGGCUUUCACGUGCAUGUCAAGCCCAGGUAAGGUGGGGAUGACGUUCGUCUGAC
Molecule: unclassified non-coding RNA, 221 nt
Filed under: uncultured bacterium
Lineage: Bacteria
Description: contains 16S-23S intergenic spacer region
Source: RNAcentral